CUUUCCUUAAGAGCAUGUGGCCCU
This 24-nucleotide non-coding RNA is filed under the name Drosophila melanogaster (fruit fly). The record is from RNAcentral. Lineage: Eukaryota; Metazoa; Arthropoda; Insecta; Diptera; Drosophilidae.